ACGAGUGUAGUUCAAGGGUAGAAUAGUGGUCUCCAAAACCAUUGAUGGGAGUUCGAAUCUCUCCACUCGUG
RNAcentral lists this transfer RNA (71 nucleotides) under Bacteroidota bacterium. RNAcentral describes it as "tRNA-Trp". It matches the Rfam family "tRNA". Rfam says of the family: Transfer RNA (tRNA) molecules are approximately 80 nucleotides in length. Their secondary structure includes four short double-helical elements and three loops (D, anti-codon, and T loops). Further hydrogen bonds mediate the characteristic L-shaped molecular structure. tRNAs have two regions of fundamental functional importance: the anti-codon, which is responsible for specific mRNA codon recognition, and the 3' end, to which the tRNAs corresponding amino acid is attached (by aminoacyl-tRNA synthetases). tRNAs cope with the degeneracy of the genetic code in two manners: having more than one tRNA (with a specific anti-codon) for a particular amino acid; and 'wobble' base-pairing, i.e. permitting non-standard base-pairing at the 3rd anti-codon position. Lineage: Bacteria; Pseudomonadati; Bacteroidota. RNAcentral also lists the same sequence under 2 other names. The record is from RNAcentral.